UACGGGGGGGGCAAGCGUUGUUCGGAAUUACUGGGCGUAAAGGGCUCGUAGGCGGCUAACUAAGUCAGACGUGAAAUCCCUCGGCUUAACCGGGGAAUGGCUUCUGAUACUGGAUAGCUUGAGUUUGGGAGAGGGAUGCGGAAUUCCAGGUGUAGCGGUGAAAUGCGUAGAUAUCUGGAGGAACACCGGUGGCGAAGGCGGCAUCCUGGACCAACACUGACGCUGAUGAGCGAAAGCGUGGGGAGCGAACAGG
This 253-nucleotide ribosomal RNA is filed under the name uncultured bacterium. Its description in RNAcentral is "partial 16S ribosomal RNA". It matches the Rfam family "Bacterial small subunit ribosomal RNA", at positions 524 to 776 of the family's 1533-position model. The record is from RNAcentral.